Phrynosoma platyrhinos (Desert horned lizard) is the source of this 71-nucleotide non-coding RNA. NCBI's taxonomy places the organism in Eukaryota, Metazoa, Chordata, Lepidosauria, Squamata, Phrynosomatidae. The record is from the annotation of a GenBank genome assembly.
GCUAGUGUGGCAUAGUGGUUUGGGUAUUGGACUAUGACUCUGGGGACCAGGGUUCAAUUCCCUGUUCAGCC